This 492-nucleotide ribosomal RNA is filed under the name uncultured bacterium. Its description in RNAcentral is "partial 16S ribosomal RNA". It matches the Rfam family "Bacterial small subunit ribosomal RNA", at positions 29 to 507 of the family's 1533-position model. The record is from RNAcentral.
AGUGAACGCUGGCGGUAGGCCUAACACAUGCAAGUCGAACGGCAGCACAGUAAGAGCUUGCGAUUACGGGUGGCGAGUGGCGGACGGGUGAGGAAUACAUCGGAAUCUACUUUUUAGUGGGGGAUAACGUUGGGAAACUUACGCUAAUACCGAAUAAGAACUACGGGUGACAGUAGGGCAUCUUCGGACUUUGCCCGCUUGAAUGAGCCGAUGUCGGUGUAGCUAGUUUGCGGGGUAAAGGCCCACCAAGGCGACGAUCCGUAGCUGGUCCGAGGGGAUGAUCAGCCAAACUUGAACUUAGACACGGGCCAAAAUCCUACGGGAGGCAGCAUGUGGGAAUUUUGGACAAUUGGGGCAAACCUUAUCCAGGCAAUCCGGGUGGGAGAAUAAGGCCUUCGGGUUUGAAAACCGUUUUGUUGGGGAAGAAAAGGAGCAGUUUAAUACCACGAUGUUCUGACGGUACCCAAAGAAUAAGCACCGGCUAACUUCGUG